RNAcentral lists this ribosomal RNA (591 nucleotides) under Staphylococcus aureus. RNAcentral describes it as "partial 23S ribosomal RNA". It matches the Rfam family "Bacterial large subunit ribosomal RNA", at positions 231 to 821 of the family's 2925-position model. The record is from RNAcentral. Lineage: Bacteria; Bacillati; Bacillota; Bacilli; Caryophanales; Staphylococcaceae.
UCGAUUCCCUUAGUAGCGGCGAGCGAAACGGGAAGAGCCCAAACCAACAAGCUUGCUUGUUGGGGUUGUAGGACACUCUAUACGGAGUUACAAAGGACGACAUUAGACGAAUCAUCUGGAAAGAUGAAUCAAAGAAGGUAAUAAUCCUGUAGUCGAAAAUGUUGUCUCUCUUGAGUGGAUCCUGAGUACGACGGAGCACGUGAAAUUCCGUCGGAAUCUGGGAGGACCAUCUCCUAAGGCUAAAUACUCUCUAGUGACCGAUAGUGAACCAGUACCGUGAGGGAAAGGUGAAAAGCACCCCGGAAGGGGAGUGAAAUAGAACCUGAAACCGUGUGCUUACAAGUAGUCAGAGCCCGUUAAUGGGUGAUGGCGUGCCUUUUGUAGAAUGAACCGGCGAGUUACGAUUUGAUGCAAGGUUAAGCAGUAAAUGUGGAGCCGUAGCGAAAGCGAGUCUGAAUAGGGCGUUUAGUAUUUGGUCGUAGACCCGAAACCAGGUGAUCUACCCUUGGUCAGGUUGAAGUUCAGGUAACACUGAAUGGAGGACCGAACCGACUUACGUUGAAAAGUGAGCGGAUGAACUGAGGGUAGCGG